ACUACAGUACAAGUUUAAACAUAUUAUGCCUUUUGUAAGGCUUUUUGUAAAUCGCCAUAGAAGGUGGCUAAAGUGCUUGCCAUGGCUGUGUUGACUGCAGACUGAGGAAUCAUCCCACGCAGAUCUGUCUGAAUAUAGCCUGUCAAGAGACUCUGGUGGGGGUUGUCUUUAAGCGGAACACAAAACCAACCGCAGGGAUGGUUAUACCCACGAAUAAAUUCUGGUCUCUCUUCACUCCAGUCAAGACUUACCCCUACAAGGAAAUUUUAAAAUAACACUUAGCAGUGACCGAGAUUAAUCUGAACUCUCAUUAAAAAUUAUUAUCAGAUUUCUUGUUUAAAUAUUUUUCUUCUUAUCCAUGUAGAUGAAAAAUGAAGCCCCAAGAGUGACCAUGGAAGAAUGAGAAAGAUAAUUACCAACUAGAAUCCUGACAGGGGGCUGGUCACAUAUACUAUGGCAGAGCUACCUUGAGUUAAUCCCUAUGUCCCUUUCUGACCAUUUCCCAAGAAAUUUUGACCAUCAGACAAGCUACAGUGCUUCACGUGAAGAGCCCACGGUUCCAGGGCUACUUCUGUCAACACUCAGCCAGUCAGCGUGAGCAAGUCACACUAAGACAAAGAUUAGCAUCAGCAAAUACCACAGUUUGACGCAGUAGACCGAGGAGUCUCAAAUCUGGCUUCAAAACAGCGGCACCUGGGGAGCUGUCAAAGGUCCACAGACGGUCAGGGGAACACGGACAUGUGCCUGCACAGUGAGGCCCAGCGGAGGGAAGUGCCGUCUCAAACACCACAGUGAGAGUGAGCGCGUGGAGUGCGUGAAGGAACGGUCUCCCCACACACGUGGAGAAGAGAAUUGCCAAUUCGAGUUGGAUCCAAAAUCCUGCACAGUUUCGCCUGUUUGGUCACUGGCUGAGAGAACGCAUGGUCAUGGACUGAUGACAACAAGAUUUUUUGCAGAAUGGGGUUGAUUUUCCAAAGUGCAGUGAUGCAGUUCUCCUCCGCACCCCUACCAUACCCUCCUUGGAAUGGACUCAUGAGAAGGAAACUAUCUGCUAAUUCUGCACAGCACAUGUGGAAGAGACUCGGGCACUUAAGGAAACAGCACUGAGCCAGGGCUCUCCCUCAAGAGCAAGGCGGACGUGGAAGAGGAAAUGGGGAAGCCAGAGGUCAUGCGGACACUCAAGUAGCCUUGUGUAGAGGCCCGUGAGUGGAGGAACUGAGUUCUCCAGCCCUGGUCAAGCCUUCGGAUGACUGCAGCUUGGUAACAUCUUAACAGCAAGUUGAUGAGAUCCUGCGCCAGAAGCACCGGCUGAAUUGCGCCCCACUAGAACAGAAUCUGUGAGAAUAACCAACCGCAGUGUGACUGGUGUUCCUUGAAGCACCCACGAGGAGAAGCGCUCCGGCAUAACCUCCCAGCAAGAGGACAGGCCAAAGCCGCCCACUGCCCAAGGGGUGACAGCAAGUAAAGGUCUGACUUUACCACAAAUACUCUGUAUGCCUCAAUCAGAUACGGAAAUAGUAAUCUGACAACAGUCUUUUUCAGCCAAACCAUUAAUUGCUGGAGUUUUCUCAGGUACAUUAUCUGAUAUGGUUUUAAGAGAAUCUUUUUUCUUUUUGCUCUGGUGAUAUAUUCCAAUAGGACAUCUAUAACAACUAUUUUGACUGGAUAUGAGUAAUAAUCUUGCAUUGAGAUCUGUGAUUUAUCGCACUUGCUUUUCGUUUUAAGAAGAAUUCAAAAGUCAGGAACUUUAAAACAACUUGAUAUCAAAUAAAUGUUUUCAGCAGCCCCAGGAUGAACUACAUGUAACAGGUAAUUUAGCUUUGAUAAGUCAUAUUUACCGUAUACAUUUUUCAGGUUAAACAUCUGGUAUGCCUAAAUUUGGGUUUAAACAUUCCAGACUCUGAAAGCAUACUACAUGUCAGGAUGUACAGAAAAUCCACUCGGUAUGUACUUGAGUGUUCCAGUCUUAGGUUGUGAUUUAGAAGUUAUUUUGGUAUAACUAAAGAGCAACAGGACCAAAUCAGAAAAUUGAAAUAAAAUGUAAUUAUCACUCAAACAUAAUUAAGGAUCUAGAUAAAUUUCCAAAAUCAUUAUAUUGGGCAGUCUUUUUCAGUUGUGAAAAUAAUUUUAAUCAUUGAGUUUUAGCAUAUAAUCCCAAUAUUUAAGAAAAGAAAUCCACUGUAAUCCUGGUGCUUUUACAAUGUGUUUGUGUUCCUCUAUCAUCCAGUCAGCAGAGUUCAAGAUAUGGAAAACUUAGGUUUUGGACAAAUGAAGAAUUCAAUGGCUGUGAAUUCUCCCAGGUUAGGAAGGGAAAUCAAAAGUUCUAAGUGUUAUUUCAUCCAACUGCACUCUGUAUGGGGUUGGCCUUAAAGUUGCUUACUUCAGUUCAUACGUAACUCUGUUCAGUUAGUAACAGUGAAUGAAUAGAACAUUACUCUGUCUCUACAUAAGUCUCUCUCUUACUAACCUUUUACCUCCAUGGAAAAUACACAGGAAAACCAAAUGAAGAGUUGGGUAGGAUUCUGGAUAAUUUGGGGAGAGGUAUUUCCAGGCCAAAAAAUAUGAAGGUGAUUAUUUCAGAUUUGAAUGUACCUUUUUUACUAUGUUUUUCUCUUCUAAGCCCCCCAAACACUUAGGUCUUCAUGUUCUCAGUGCUUACUGUGACUUGAGUACUCAGAUUUUAAGGCCACCAAGAUUAAAACAGAGACAAAACCCGCCCCUGUCCACCGUGCCCUAUGGGAGACAGCCCAGGAGCUGGACAGUGCGAGGCAAUGGCGCCCAGCCAUGUAGCAGGUGUGCUCGCGAGCUCCCUGAGGGACCACAACCCAACAGACCUCGGAGCGGAGCUCGUGGGGAGAACAAGUUUGGCACCUUCUCCCUUUGGAGGCCAGAAUUUCCUAGAUUUCAGUCCUUAAUUCCCAUCCCUCAUUUCAAGCCUGCACCCACUGAAGCAGCUGUAGGCUUCUGCAACAGGGGGAGGACUACAAUGGAGUCUUACUUCUCCAGAAGCAGGCCUUGUAAGAAUUCAGGCAAAACUAAUCCUAUCUUCCUCCAUUAUCCCGCAUAUAAUGGCCCCCCAGGACUGAGGAUCUUCAGCUAUCUAGAAGGCUGGAGAAGCAGGAACAGAUGUGAGCAGUGACUCCCUCACCUGGUUCUCCUGGAUGCUCCUAUGGCUCACCUACCUCAGGAGGAAAUGACACGGACACACACAGAGGAAAGGCCACGUGAGGACACAGGGAGAAGAUGACUAUCCACAAGCCCAGGAAACAGCCUCAGAAGAAACCAGCCCUGCCGACAGGUGGACCUCAGACUUCCAGACUCCAGAAUUGUGGGAAAACAAAGUUCUGUUGUUUAAGCCACCUAAUCAGUGGUACUUUGUCUUGGCAGCCCUAGCAAAUUAAUAGUGUGCCUUAAGUGCAAUUAAAAAAAAAUGUAUAGGUGAUGUCAAAUGCAACAGAUGUCAGAACAUGUCUCAACAGACUAAAGAAACAAAACCAACAGUCAGCAAACCAUCCAGUUUUGCUGUCAACAGAGGAACCAGGGAUGGCGGUGAGCAGAUGUGGGAGGGCGUCCAAUGGUUACCAGCUGCAAGCCAAGGAAGACCGUGGGUUCAGUGGGAGGGUGUAAGGAGUUCUGUGUGGGGAAGCACCCAGAGCAUGGCUUGCUACAGCUCUCUGUGGCCAUGAUAGCAGUAGCACAAAUGCAACCCCACAGGCUGCUGUACCCAGUCUUUUACCUGGUUCUGAAUAUCAGGUCCUGGGAGUAUACGGGUCAAAAAACAGGGGUAAGUUGAUCUGUCUCCCCGAAGUCCAUCUGUUCUUGCUAGACCCUAAACCUGUUCAUUCUUUUUGGUCCUGGUCAACUGAGGCUCCAAAAGUGGACACAUGGCUUCAACUCAUUCCAUUCACUCAGUUUUCUGAAUUCAAGUUUGUGUUUUUCAUGAAGGCCAAAUAAACUUUUUUUUUCUUUUUUAAACUUCA
This is a long non-coding RNA of Suricata suricatta (meerkat), 3980 nucleotides long. RefSeq lists it as uncharacterized. The transcript has 9 exons. The record is from RefSeq and is a predicted model, not a curated record. NCBI's taxonomy places the organism in Eukaryota, Metazoa, Chordata, Mammalia, Carnivora, Herpestidae.